RNAcentral lists this ribosomal RNA (253 nucleotides) under uncultured bacterium. RNAcentral's name for it is "partial 16S ribosomal RNA". It matches the Rfam family "Bacterial small subunit ribosomal RNA", at positions 524 to 776 of the family's 1533-position model. The record is from RNAcentral.
UCCGUAGGGUGCAAGCGUUAAUCGGAAUUACUGGGCGUAAAGCGUGCGCAGGCGGCUAUGCAAGACAGAUGUGAAAUCCCCGGGCUCAACCUGGGAACUGCAUUUGUGACUGCAUGGCUAGAGUACGGCAGAGGGGGAUGGAAUUCCGCGUGUAGCAGUGAAAUGCGUAGAUAUGCGGAGGAACACCGAUGGCGAAGGCAAUCCCCUGGGCCUGUACUGACGCUCAUGCACGAAAGCGUGGGGAGCAAACAGG